CCUACGGGAGGCUGCAGUGGGGGAUAUUGCACAAUGGGGGGAACCCUGAUGCAGCGACGCCGCGUGGAUGAAGGAGCGUUUCGGCGCGUAAAGCCCUAUCGGCAGGGAAGAAGGAGGACGGUACCUGACUAAGUAGCCCCGGCUAACUACGUGCCAGCAGCCGCGGUCAUACGUAGGGGGCACGCGUUAUCCGGAUUUACUGGGUGUAAAGGGGGCGCAGCCGGCAGGGCAAGCCAGGAGUGAAAGCCCGGGGCUCAACCCCGGGACUGCAGUUGGAACUGGGCGGCUGGAGUGCAGGAGGGGCAGGCGGAAUUCCUGGUGUAGCGGUGAAAUGCGUAGAUAUCAGGAGGAACACCGGUGGCGAAGGCGGCCUGCUGGACUGCGACUGACGUUGAGGCCCGAAAGUGUGGGGAGCAAACAGGAUUAGAUACCCCUGUAGUC
This 441-nucleotide ribosomal RNA is filed under the name uncultured bacterium. RNAcentral describes it as "partial 16S ribosomal RNA". It matches the Rfam family "Bacterial small subunit ribosomal RNA", at positions 338 to 795 of the family's 1533-position model. The record is from RNAcentral.